GACGAACGCUGGCGGCGUGCUUAACACAUGCAAGUCGAACGGAAAGGCCCUGCUUUUGUGGGGUUCUCGAGUGGCGAACGGGUGAGUAACACGUGAGUAACCUGCCCUUGACUUUGGGAUAACUUCAGGCAACUGGGGCUACUACCGGAUAGGAGCUCCUGCUGCAUGGUGGGGGUUGGAAAGUUUCGGCGGUUGGGGAUGGACUCGCGGCUUAUCAGCUUGUUGGUGGGGGAGUGGCUUACCAAGGCUUUGACUGGUAGCCGGCCUGAGAGGGUGACCGGGGACAAGGGGACUGAGAGAGGGCGCAGACGGGAAUGUGAGGCAGCAGGGGGGAAUAUGGUACAAUGAGCGGGAGCCUGAGGCAGAAACGCUGGGAGCGGGAAGAAGGUCUUGGGGGUGUAAACCGCUGUAGGCUGUGACGAAGCGGGAGUGACGGUAAUGGGUAAAGAAGCACCGGCUAACUACGUG
RNAcentral lists this ribosomal RNA (468 nucleotides) under uncultured bacterium. Its description in RNAcentral is "partial 16S ribosomal RNA". It matches the Rfam family "Bacterial small subunit ribosomal RNA", at positions 28 to 507 of the family's 1533-position model. The record is from RNAcentral.